Molecule: unclassified non-coding RNA, 328 nt
Filed under: Hevea brasiliensis (rubber tree)
Lineage: Eukaryota; Viridiplantae; Streptophyta; Magnoliopsida; Malpighiales; Euphorbiaceae
Source: RNAcentral
AGAAAGUUCGAAGAUGGAGGAACAGUUGAAAAUGGGAGUUACCGAAGUUGAAGAAGACGAUGAACACGAUUCUAAAGAGAGUGUUCUACAGAGAUAUUUUUUACAGGAAUGGAAGCUUGUUAAGUCACUCCUCGACGAUAUCAUUUCCAAUGGCCGUGUCUCUGAUAUCUCCUCUGUUCAUAAGAUCCGAUCUAUUAUGGACAAAUAUCAGGAGCAAGGUCAAUUACUGGAGCCUUACCUCGAGAGUAUGGUUUCACCCCUAAUGUCCAUUGUCCGUUCAAAAGCUGUCGAACGAGUUGCUGCCUCGGAAGAGAUUCUUGAAGUAAUU